UGAGACAGAAUCUCUCGUUGGCCUG
RNAcentral lists this non-coding RNA (25 nucleotides) under Mus musculus (house mouse). The record is from RNAcentral. Lineage: Eukaryota; Metazoa; Chordata; Mammalia; Rodentia; Muridae.